CAAAAAUCAAAAAAAA
This 16-nucleotide small RNA is filed under the name Arabidopsis thaliana (thale cress). Its description in RNAcentral is "ATSL136460". The record is from RNAcentral. Lineage: Eukaryota; Viridiplantae; Streptophyta; Magnoliopsida; Brassicales; Brassicaceae.